CCCGGAAACAGGAAACAGUCUUUUCUAGCUGACUGUCCAAGCAUUCCUGUACUAGAAAAGGGCUUCCCUGCUCCAAGAUACAAUACAAAGUCUUUGUUUAUGUCGGUGAACGGAGCAAACCAUGCCCAAGAUGGAAAUAAAAUGAAAUGGAUGCAAACUUCUAAGGACCAGAAUCUUCAUUCAUUUAAUUUCUACUUAUUGGUUCUUGUUCUUGCCCGUGGUCAUUAUAUAUAGAGAGUAAGUCUGAUCUUUUUUCUUGUCCAUUACCUCUACCCAUAUCCUAACCCCUAAUCUGUCCAGAUUCCCUUUGGUGUGGUUGGGAGGGGGGAAGGAAUACAGGCUGCUCAAAUAACUUAGACAUUUUGAGACUUUAUAACUACUAUUUUUCUGGUGAAAUAGAUUAUACUGGCAGGGAAGUACAUUUGCCUUUUAGUGAUGCCUGCCAGAUCCCUAGAUGGUUCAGUGGACCCUGUUAAAGCACCCUAAAUACUCUUUGUUCCUUUCAUCAUUAUGAACUACUAUGUUAUCCUUAGCACUUGUAGACUUUUCUAUCCAUCCUGAACUCUUAUAUUUGUAGCUUCCCACAAUAAGAGUUCACCAAGCUCCUUGAAAAUAGUGACUAAUUUUUAAAUUUGUUUAUCACCAAUGUUCAACAUAAUGUUUAAGACAUAAUAA
RNAcentral lists this long non-coding RNA (675 nucleotides) under Monodelphis domestica (gray short-tailed opossum). RNAcentral describes it as "lncRNA (ENSMODG00000050804.1)". Lineage: Eukaryota; Metazoa; Chordata; Mammalia; Didelphimorphia; Didelphidae. The record is from RNAcentral.